This is a long non-coding RNA of Micropterus dolomieu (smallmouth bass), 873 nucleotides long. RefSeq lists it as uncharacterized. The record is from RefSeq and is a predicted model, not a curated record. Lineage: Eukaryota; Metazoa; Chordata; Actinopteri; Centrarchiformes; Centrarchidae. The transcript is spliced from 4 exons.
CUUAACAUCUAGCUCAGCGCCUAUUUUUGUCAAGUGACCAGGGUUCGGAAGUAAUGGAUUACAUGUAACGGCGUUACGUAAUCAGGAUACAAAAAUAAAAUACUGAUUGGCGUGUAGCCAGUUGUUGAAUGUGGUUACGGCCACACCCCGUCAUGCAGACUCGGCAGCCGGAUCCAGGACCGCACACAGCCUCCAAGACCGACGGAGGCCAGUCUCACCACUGGGAAUGAGAUGAGAACUGUCAGUCAGAGUGCUUGAGGGUGAACCAGAUCAAGACGUCUGUGCCAGAGGUGACAGAGCUGACUGACGUAUUUCCAGGCAGCCAGCAGAGCUGACUGAGAUUUGACUCCAGUGAUACGGAGGUCCUGUAUCUAUGAGGUGGUAGGAAGCACAGUGCACCUUAUCUUCUCCUGAAGAACUCCAAAUAACUCGCUCCCACACAGGGAUGCUUCUUCUGCUUGGAAAAAAAAUGACCUGAAAGAUCUUUUUUCCCUGUUUGCAAUAUCUUACUAAGCACAACUAAAUAAUUCCUCUUAGUUCAAUGUUUAGGCCCCCCUAAAGUAAAGUGGUACAUAGAGCAUGCACCACUUUUCUUGAGAGGGUCACAAAAAGUUACAUGACCAUAACUUAACCUUAAAGGUCCAGUGUGUACCAUUUCUGAGGAUCUAUCGACAGAAAUGCAAUAUAAGAUCCAUAACUAUGUUUUCAGUGGUGUAUGAAGACCUGACAUAAUAAACCGUUAUUAUUACCGUUUUUAUUACCUUAGAAUGAGCUAUUUAUAUCUACAUAACUGCAGGAACCCCCUUCCAUGGACGUCGCCACGUUGCAUUGUCAUGUUUCUACAGUAGCUGAAAACAGACAAACAGCGCUACA